CAAAGGCUUGGUCCUGACUUUGCCAUCAGCUUUAACUAAACUUACACAUGCGAGUAUCCGCACCCCUGUGAGAAUGCCCCGCUACCUCCUGCUUGGAGACGAGGAGCCGGCAUCAGGCACAAUAUUCUUUAGCCCACGACGCCUUGCUAAGCCACACCCCCAAGGGAAUUCAGCAGUGAUAAAUAUUAAGCCAUGAGUGAAAACUUGACUUAGUUAGUGUUUAUAGGGCCGGUAAACCUCGUGCCAGCCACCGCGGUUAGACGAGAGACCCAAGUGGAUGGCCCUCGGCGUAAAGAGUGGUUAAGAUAAUUUUAAACUAAGGCCAAACGACUUUUUAGCUGUUAUACGCGCGAGAAGACAUGAAGCCCAACUACGAAAGUGGCCUUAAACCCCUGACCCCACGAAAGCUAGGACACAAACUGGGAUUAGAUACCCCACUAUGCCUAGCCCUAAACAUUGAUAAUACCCUACCCAGUUUAUCCGCCCGGGGACUACGAGCGUCAGCUUGAAACCCAAAGGACUUGGCGGUGCUUUAGAUCCACCUAGAGGAGCCUGUUCUAGAACCGAUAAUCCCCGUUCAACCUCACCUUUCCUUGCUCAUUCCGCCUAUAUACCGCCGUCGUCAGCUUACUCUUUGAGGAACCAGCCGUAAGCGCAACUGGUACAACCUAAAACGCCAGGUCGAGGUGUAGCGAAUGGAAAGGGAAGAAAUGGGCUACAUUCAAUAACAAUAAUGCAUACGAACGAUGUCCUGAAAUAAACAUCUGAAGGAGGAUUUAGUAGUAAGUAGAGAGUAGAGUGCUCUGCUGAAGCCGGCCCUGAAGCGCGUACACACCGCCCGUCACUCUCCCCGAGCUAACCAUAAAAAUUAAUAAUAAGCAAAACUUGCAAAGGGGAGGCAAGUCGUAACAUGGUAAGCGUACCGGAAGGUGCGCUUGGCUAAACCC
RNAcentral lists this non-coding RNA (947 nucleotides) under Thalassoma lunare. Its description in RNAcentral is "12S ribosomal RNA". It matches the Rfam family "Bacterial small subunit ribosomal RNA". Lineage: Eukaryota; Metazoa; Chordata; Actinopteri; Labriformes; Labridae. The record is from RNAcentral.